Molecule: long non-coding RNA, 1196 nt
Organism: Scatophagus argus
Lineage: Eukaryota; Metazoa; Chordata; Actinopteri; Scatophagidae
Exons: 3
Source: RefSeq, a predicted model, not a curated record
AAAUACUUAACUGAAGACUUGUGUCAGAGUGUUUUCGCUCUGCAGCAGCGCUACUUUCACUUGAGUAGAGGAUUUUAAAACUUGUUGCAUCCAAACCUUCGAGCUGAUGCAGCACAACAGGAGAGUAUGGAUUAUUAUUGUGUACUUAAGUUCUCAGCUAAGUUUCACCGAAAUCCCCCAGCGGCUUUCACGUGUUCUGAAUGAAAAGUUGUCGCGCUUCGAAGUGUUGCGCAAGCGCAGCGGAAAACAACGUCGCGCCGAUCUGCUGCAAAAUAACACGUCACUAAUCAGAUCGAACCUUUCGCAGCCGGUUAAACACUUGGAGACGAUUAAAAGGUCCGAGUCGACCCCCCUCACCGUCGUCCGUGAAGCGAAAGCUGCGCAGGAACAGCAGGCAGUCGUGCAGUCCGGCGAACAGCGAGAAGCCGCCGCCGAACGGGUUGUCCCUGAAGAAGAGCUCGAACACUGCGGGGUCCUGGUGUCGGCCCGCCCGCCAGUACGCGUACGCCAUGGUGAACUGGUACAGGUCCGUCAGCAGCGGGGGGACCCGGUCGCGGAUAGAGCGCUCCGUGGCCCCACAUGUGUCUCUGGACGACGCUGCCAUGUUAUUCGAGCGCUGGCUCCAGGUUCACUGAUGCCGAGAUCUCUGGGACUUGCAGUUCUCCGAGGCUCCGCUGACUCGUUCGCCUCCUGAGGCAGGAACAAGACGGGGACAGCAGGCAGACGUGUGUUUGGGAAUAAAAUCAGCUGCAAAACCGGUUUCACGUCGACGCUUUGCGGGUCGCUGAUCCACGUUGUGUUGUGAUGGAGGACCAGUGGUCGGAGAAACGCUCCAGACUUUCACUGUGCAAACAUGUAAAAACUACAAGGCCUGCAGCCAACAGGAACACAGCAGAGAUGUUAAUCAGGUCGAAUUAUUUAGUUGGAUUGUUUGUACAUCAGUUUUCAUGAGCCAACGUGUCCUCUUCAAAUAAAUGUAGUUUAGAAACGGUUUGUACUGCACACACUUCAGUUAGGCCUACUUUAAAGAGCACAAAGAAGGAACCAUGAGAGAAAAGACUGUCAGAGUACCUCACUUUAUUUGUCUGAUGUCAUGUAUUCAGCAGAUUGUAAAAUAUUCGUCAUGGAGACCUUAUCAAACCCCAAAACAAGGUCCUGUUCUCAUGGAGGGAUUAAUAAAAACACUAACAAUGUCA